Archocentrus centrarchus (flier cichlid) is the source of this 1341-nucleotide long non-coding RNA. RefSeq lists it as uncharacterized. The record is from RefSeq and is a predicted model, not a curated record. Lineage: Eukaryota; Metazoa; Chordata; Actinopteri; Cichliformes; Cichlidae. The transcript has 5 exons.
UUGGCCUCUUUAGUCCUACAACAGCCCCUAAAACAACACCAAGAAGCUUCAUCUCCAGCCUGAACAUUUAAAUCUGCUGCAGACUCGGUUAAAAACGACAAAAAUGUCCGCAUGUUAAACAUUUAUCACUCACAUUUUUGGGUCAGUACGACAACAAAAGCCAUAAACGGAAGAGCAGAAAGCGCAAAGUACAGGCUGACCAGAAUGGGUGCAGCACUUCAACCAGGGACUAUUUAACAUGAGGGAGAGGAGGGUCCCACUGCCCGUCUGACACUGUUCUCACUGCAAGGCAGUGCCAGUUUCCUCCUGUGUGGAAGAGUUACAUCAUCGCUGAAUCCCAUGUUUGAUUGAGUGCAGUUCCAGUCAGGUAAGGUGUCGUCCUAUCAGCACCUGUGGAUGAGCUCCUCGCUCUGCAGCAAGUCCAUCUCGCCAGUGUCCAUGCCCUCCUCCUCAGCAUUGCCCUCCUCCUCCUCCUCCAUCACCUCAUCCUUCUCUCCUUUGGGACCAGGAGAUGAGAAGAGGGAAAUGCGAACUGCAUCAUCACCUUCGCCCUGAUUCACCGUGGAAACCCAAAUCUGCCUUCGUCAUCAUCUCUCGAGUUAAACUCAAGCCGCCCCCAUCAAUCAGUCCAAGCUCUUCCUUUCCAUGCAGACUCACCUCUCCCUCCAAUCCCUGCCCUUUCUCUAUCUGCCCCGACAGCCCCUUUUCAUUCCCUGAAUCAUUGCACGGACUCAGCCCUAUCUGUCCACUGAGCCCUGUCUCUGGACACUGUCCCAUCUCUGACGGCUGGUCCACAGUCAGCGCUGCAGCUUCUUUGGCUUGUCUGAUGCAGUUGAUCCACUGCUGUUUGUUGAAGGCGUCGCUGGCCUGGAAGCAGUGGCUCUGCAGCUGCCCUCCAGUGCGGUACGAAACCCGGAAGAAGUUCUUUGCUGAGAGGAGGAGAAAACAGAAGACAUGGUCCUCCAGGUCGAGCUGACGGAUGGGGAUGGGCUGGCGGCAGAGCUGAUAGCUGACCGGCUGCUCGCUCAGCGACAUGGAUCUGGUGAUGACCAGGACGUCCUGGAAAAGGAACACGUGAAGUUUCUGGAAAGAGAAUGACAGAGAGCAGUAUUUCAUUUUCCACCCAAUGAAUAAAGAUAAUAUAUUAAAACACUAUAAAAGGCCAUAUUUACAGCAAGGUUGAUGAAAGUGGGGAAAAAACACUCUCAAAAAGCUCACCCAUGCUAUGAAAAUGCAUCUGUAACAUAGAUAAAUUGACAAUAAACCAACUUUAUUGACUGGAUUUAAUCAGUGAUGCUGACAUUUACUUAAUUUGAUACUAAAAUCUAUGAGGAUUUCAGC